AGACCCGAAACCCGGUGAUCUAGCCAUGGGCAGGUUGAAGGUUGGGUAACACUAACUGGAGGACCGAACCGACUAAUGUUGAAAAAUUAGCGGAUGACCUGUGGCUGGGGGUGAAAGGCCAAUCAAACCGGGAGAUAGCUGGUUCUCCCCGAAAGCUAUUUAGGUAGCGCCUCGUGAAUUCAUCUCCGGGGGUAGAGCACUGUUUCGGCUAGGGGGCCAUCCCGGCUUACCAACCCGAUGCAAACUGCGAAUACCGGAGAAUGUUAUCACGGGAGACACACGGCGGGUGCUAACGUCCGUCGUGAAGAGGGAAACAACCCAGACCGCCAGCUAAGGUCCCAAAGUCAUGGUUAAGUGGGAAACGAUGUGGGAAGGCCCAGACAGCCAGGAUGUUGGCUUAGAAGCAGCCAUCAUUUAAAGAAAGCGUAAUAGCUCACUGGUCGAGUCGGCCUGCGCGGAAGAUGUAACGGGGCUAAACCAUGCACCGAAGCUGCGGCAGCGACACUCAGGUGUUGUUGGGUAGGGGAGCGUUCUGUAAGCCUGCGAAGGUGGCCUGUGAGGGUUGCUGGAGGUAUCAGAAGUGCGAAUGCUGACAUAAGUAACGAUAAAGCGGGUGAAAAGCCCGCUCGCCGGAAGACUAAGGGUUCCUGUCCAACGUUAAUCGGGGCAGGGUGAGUCGACCCCUAAGGCGAGGCCGAAAGGCGUAGUCGAUGGGAAACGGGUUAAUAUUCCCGUACUUGGUGUUACUGCGAAGGGGGGACGGAGAAGGCUAUGU
Molecule: ribosomal RNA, 775 nt
Filed under: Salmonella enterica subsp. enterica serovar Halle
Lineage: Bacteria; Pseudomonadati; Pseudomonadota; Gammaproteobacteria; Enterobacterales; Enterobacteriaceae
Description: partial 23S ribosomal RNA
Rfam family: Bacterial large subunit ribosomal RNA
Source: RNAcentral